This 404-nucleotide ribosomal RNA is filed under the name uncultured bacterium. RNAcentral describes it as "bacterial SSU rRNA". It matches the Rfam family "Bacterial small subunit ribosomal RNA", at positions 355 to 776 of the family's 1533-position model. The record is from RNAcentral.
UGGGGAAUAUUGGACAAUGGGCGCAAGCCUGAUCCAGCCAUGCCGCGUGAGUGAUGAAGGCUCUAGGGUUGUAAAGCUCUUUCAACGGUGAAGAUAAUGACGGUAACCGUAGAAGAAGCCCCGGCUAACUUCGUGCCAGCAGCCGCGGUAAUACGAAGGGGGCUAGCGUUGUUCGGAAUUACUGGGCGUAAAGCGCACGUAGGCGGAUACUUAAGUCAGGGGUGAAAUCCCGGGGCUCAACCCCGGAACUGCCUUUGAUACUGGGUAUCUGGAGUCCGGAAGAGGUGAGUGGAAUUCCGAGUGUAGAGGUGAAAUUCGUAGAUAUUCGGAGGAACACCAGUGGCGAAGGCGGCUCACUGGUCCGGUACUGACGCUGAGGUGCGAAAGCGUGGGGAGCAAACAGG